AAGACUAUAGACCUGCGGAGUACCUGCGGAGGGAUCAUUAAUGAAUUUUAGGACGUUCUUUUUAGAAGUCCGACCAUUUCAUUUUCUUACACUGUGCACACACUUCUUUUUACACACACUUUUAACACAUUAGUAUAAGAAUGUAAUAGUCUCUUAAUUGAGCAUAAACAAAAAUAAAACUUUCAACAACGGAUCUCU
RNAcentral lists this unclassified non-coding RNA (198 nucleotides) under soil metagenome. RNAcentral's name for it is "partial contains 5.8S ribosomal RNA, internal transcribed spacer 2, and large subunit ribosomal RNA". The record is from RNAcentral.